UCCUUGGUGGUUCAAUGGUUAAGGCUCUGCACUUCCACUGCAGAGGGCUCAGGUUCGAUUCCUGGUCAGGAAA
This 73-nucleotide transfer RNA is filed under the name Ovis aries (sheep). It matches the Rfam family "tRNA". From Rfam's summary of the family: Transfer RNA (tRNA) molecules are approximately 80 nucleotides in length. Their secondary structure includes four short double-helical elements and three loops (D, anti-codon, and T loops). Lineage: Eukaryota; Metazoa; Chordata; Mammalia; Artiodactyla; Bovidae. The record is from Rfam by way of RNAcentral.